GGGUUAACGCCUUCGGGCACAAUCCCCACCCUUUGUAACCGCGGCCCGGAUUCGGCGCCUGGCGGGGACCGCCCCCCGUUCGCGGGGGGUCCCCGCCUGCCGGAAUUAGCCAACCUGCCUAGAAAAUUUGAAGUCUGAGAACAAGUUAAAUUAAACAAAACUUUCAACAACGGAUCUCUUGGUUCU
RNAcentral lists this unclassified non-coding RNA (186 nucleotides) under rhizosphere metagenome. RNAcentral describes it as "partial ribosomal RNA internal transcribed spacer region". The record is from RNAcentral.